Non-coding RNA from Nematostella vectensis (starlet sea anemone), 162 nucleotides. NCBI's taxonomy places the organism in Eukaryota, Metazoa, Cnidaria, Anthozoa, Actiniaria, Edwardsiidae. The record is from Rfam.
AUACUUACAGGGCACAGGAGCUACUGUGAUCACGAAGGCAGUUCUCUCGGAGCGAGGCCCCUCUGCACACUAGGGGCUGAACUCUGCGCGUUCCCGAAUAACACGGGUUCGCGGUGUGCAAUUUUUGAUAGUCGGGUGGACUUGCGUGCGCGCUCGUCUGCC